CCUACGGGGGGCAGCAGUGGGGAAUAUUGCGCAAUGGGGGAAACCCUGACGCAGCGACGCCGCGUGUAGGAAGAAGGCCUUCGGGUCGUAAACUACUGUCAAGAGGGAAGAAACCGUAGGGCAUUAAUACGGCUCUGCGCUGACGGUACCUCUAGAGGAAGCACCGGCUAACUCCGUGCCAGCAGCCGCGGUAAUACGGAGGGUGCGAGCGUUAAUCGGAAUCACUGGGCGUAAAGCGUGCGUAGGCGGCGUAUCAAGUCAGGCGUGAAAGCCCUCGGCUCAACCGGGGAAUUGCGCUUGAAACUGGUAUGCUAGAGUCUCGGAGAGGUUGGCGGAAUUCCAGGUGUAGGAGUGAAAUCCGUAGAUAUCUGGAGGAACACCGGUGGCGAAGGCGGCCAACUGGACGAGUACUGACGCUGAGGUACGAAAGCGUGGGUAGCAAACAGGAUUAGAUACCCCCGUAGUC
RNAcentral lists this ribosomal RNA (466 nucleotides) under uncultured bacterium. Its description in RNAcentral is "bacterial SSU rRNA". It matches the Rfam family "Bacterial small subunit ribosomal RNA", at positions 338 to 795 of the family's 1533-position model. The record is from RNAcentral.